AGCUAGUUGGUGAGGUAAUGGCUCACCAAGGCAAUGACACCUAACUGGUUUGAGAGGAUGAUCAGUCACACUGGAACUGAGACACGGUCCAGACUCCUACGGGAGGCAGCAGUGGGGAAUAUUGCACAAUGGACGAAAGUCUGAUGCAGCAACGCCGCGUGGAGGAUGACACAUUUCGGUGCGUAAACUCCUUUUAUAUAGGAAGAUAAUGACGGUACUAUAUGAAUAAGCACCGGCUAACUCCGUGCCAGCAGCCGCGGUAAUACGGAGGGUGCAAGCGUUACUCGGAAUUACUGGGCGUAAAGAGCGUGUAGGCGGGUAAAUAAGUUGGAAGUGAAAUCCUAUGGCUCAACCAUAGAACUGCUUCCAAAACUGUUAACCUAGAAUGUGGGAGAGGUAGAUGGAAUUUCUGGUGUAGGGGUAAAAUCCGUAGAUAUCAGAAGGAAUACCGAUUGCGAAGGCGAUCUACUGGAACAUAAUUGACGCUGAGACGCGAAAGCGUGGGGAGCAAACAGGAUUAGAUACCCUGGUAGUCCACGCCCUAAACGAUGUACACUAGUUGUUGUGAGGCUAGACCUUGCAGUAAUGCAGUUAACACAUUAAGUGUACCGCCUGGGGAGUACGGUCGCAAGAUUAAAACUCAAAGGAAUAGACGGGGACCCGCACAAGCGGUGGAGCAUGUGGUUUAAUUCGACAUACGCGAAGAACCUUACCUGGUCUUGACAUAGAAAGAACUUUCCAGAGAUGGAUUGGUGCCUGCUUGCAGGAGCUUUCAUACAGGUGCUGCACGGCUGUCGUCAGCUCGUGUCGUGAGAUGUUGGGUUAAGUCCCGCAACGAGCGCAACCCUCGUCGUUAGUUGCUAACAGUUCGGCUGAGAACUCUAACGAGACUGCCUACGCAAGUAGGAGGAAGGUGAGGACGACGUCAAGUCAUCAUGGCCCUUACGACCAGGGCUACACACGUGCUACAAUGGGGUAUACAAAGAGCAGCGAUACGGUGACGUGGAGCGAAUCUCAAAAAUGCCUCCCAGUUCGGAUAGUAGUCUGCAACUCGACUACUUGAAGUUGGAAUCGCUAGUAAUCGUAGAUCAGCUAUGCUACGGUGAAUACGUUCCCGGGUCUUGUACUCACCGCCCGUCACACCAUGGGAGUUGAAUUCAUUCGAAGCGGGGACGCUAAAAUAGCUACCUUCCACAGUGGAUUUAGCGACUGGGGUGAAGUCGUAACAAGGUAACCGUAGGAGAACCUGCGGUUG
This 1255-nucleotide ribosomal RNA is filed under the name metagenome. RNAcentral's name for it is "bacterial SSU rRNA". It matches the Rfam family "Bacterial small subunit ribosomal RNA", at positions 243 to 1520 of the family's 1533-position model. The record is from RNAcentral.